Molecule: long non-coding RNA, 478 nt
Organism: Felis catus (domestic cat)
Lineage: Eukaryota; Metazoa; Chordata; Mammalia; Carnivora; Felidae
Exons: 4
Source: RefSeq, a predicted model, not a curated record
UCUGGGAAAUUCUGCUCACUGGGGAAUUAAAAAAAAAAAAAAAGGAAAAGGCCAACCAUGCAUGAAUGCAAUUUCUCUCUCAACUGGAUGAAACUGUGGUGGCUGGUGAUUGGGAACAUACGGAAGAUCGACUGGGAGAAGGGAAACUAGGAGGGAGGGCUCUCAGGGCUCUGCCUCCCAAGAUGCUUGGGGUAGCCUGCUUUGCCUUUCUGAGUGUAGUGAACUGACAGGUGCACGUGGUCCGGGAACGUGGGGCGGAUGUCUGCGGUGGCGAGAAAAUUACUCCAUUCGGUCUGAACAAAGGCUUGGUAACCUCCCUGAAGACGGGGACCCUUGCCCCGCUGCUGUGUCGCCAGUGCCUCCUUGACUGUGGUGCGCGUAUUGCGUGAAGGUGCUUCAUGUUCACUGAAUGAAUACGAGAGAGAGACACAGCAUGAACGGGGGAGAGGCAGAGAGAGAGGGAAACACAGAAUCGGAA